AUGGCCUUUGGUUUUCUCUCCUGGGGCACUUUCUGGCCGAGGGUGCAAGGUGCUCACCGGCAGCUGCCCGGCCCCUCCUUCCUGUAACCCGAGGGUGUCUCUGUUCAAGUCACAAACCAGCCCUCCCUGCCUGCCCUCCCACAUGACUGGAUGACGUCCCCGGAGCAACACCCUCCGAGGAAGACUGCCAGGGUUGUGCCCCAGGAGGAACUGACAAGUGGCAAGCAACCGGCAGAGGACGGACGGACGGACGGGCAGACUGAGGAAGAGAGGAGGAGAGAGAGAGAGAAAGAGAGAGGGAGACUGGUACCCACCCCCCACCCCUCCGGGAAGGAUGGUCUGAGUUAUCAUCAACGGUAAACCAAGCUGUACCUCCAGAUUCAGACAAUGUGGGGCUCCGGUGGGAAUUUCCAGGCACUACGGGUGAAGAUUAGGGCACACCAAAGGGGUGCUUCUGCUGCUAGCUUUUGGACUUCUUCUGCCAGACCCUACUUUGUCCUUAGCUCCCCCACACACCUUCCAAAUCUCACAUUUUCCUAGGGGGGGAAACAACCUAAAAGAAAGUGGUGUUUUCUUCUCUCAUUUUAUUCGUGUGGAAGAAGGGUGGGAGGAAGGCGGGGAGAGGUUCCAGGUGAUUCAUUCCCCUGUUGCAAGAUCAUUACUCAGCAGGUCUCUUUCCAUCCUAACUCUUUUUUUAAAGAAAAAUGUACUUCUAUUGUCCACCCAGUGUUGCUUAGAAACAUGCUAUGAUGUCAGUGUAAUUGCCCCUUGGGUUUUGAAGCCAGGAAAUAGUCAAGUAUUCCCUGUGGUCACUGUGGGCUCCUGUAACCUGCCUGCAGCUAUGUGGUGGCAAGAAUCAGGAGCUGCUGCAGCUGUUGUGGUGAAGACGGCGAAGCGGAGCGGCGCGACGCAUCGGUCCCACCGAAAGAUAAAGGUGAGAUGGGUCAGGCCGUCUCCGUAGAACAUCGGGUGGAGGACCCCGUUGGGUUGGAGGCUGGUCUGUGACCCGGUGGAUAGGAAAAGGGUGUGGAGGUCCCAUGUGGGUUCCUCAAGCAGAACAAGACCUGUGGAAGCCUACAGAACAGAGGGGCUGUCGGUGUAGCUGUUGCUCCGGUGGAUAGUAAAUGGUCAUGAGUUCUACAGCAAAGUUAAGGAGCUGUAGAGAUACAGCAAGAGAGGAGGAGAGGAACCAGACCAGAAUUAAUGCGCAGCACCUACGGUCACCCUCCGCUUCCCUUCCACCAGGCCCUCUUCCCUACCGGUGCUGGUGAGCAUCAUCCACCACUGGCACAAUCAACAAUCAUUCUCUUGCAACCCCCUGUUGUCAACGGCCGGGCGCCAUCAGGAACUUCACUACUGAGGCAGGAAGAAAAGAGCUUACCACAUCCUCCUUUGGGGAGGGAAAGAAAGCCACAGCCACUGGGUUGAUCUGGGAGUAAACAAGAAGUAGGACAACUUCUUUCAGGCCUGGGAGAGGCAAGGGUGGUAGUGGCAGAGGAUGGGCAGAGACAGAAGCUGCUUCCUCCUCCCCUCUUUUAUAGAAAUGCCACAAAAGACAGAAGCAAUUGGACACACCUAGAGUCAACCAAAGAGUUGACUCAACAAAUCCACACUGAUUCGAUGUGCCUACUCUUGCUGUGAUUUACUAGCCGCUGACGCUUUCUGCUGCAACCCACCCUUGGGUGGGCAACCUCUUCCCAGGUGGGUAAGAGAGGAGAGGAGAAGGGAAGAGGAGAAAGGACAGAAGUGGAGAUGACCUGGUUGGAAGAGGCCAAAGGGGAGGUGGGGAACAGAGGAACCUGGGGAAAGGGGAGAUUGGUGGCCGGCUCUGCCAUUAGGCAGGAGGAGAAAGCGAACUCAGGGAGCAGAGUCUCAACGGUGCAUCUUCCCAUAUGACCCAACUGAAGCCUACACGUGACGGAUCCCAAGAGCUUCCUUGAUGCAGCUGGAGGUGGAAGAAU
RNAcentral lists this long non-coding RNA (1961 nucleotides) under Pogona vitticeps (central bearded dragon). Its description in RNAcentral is "lncRNA (ENSPVIG00000023116.1)". Lineage: Eukaryota; Metazoa; Chordata; Lepidosauria; Squamata; Agamidae. The record is from RNAcentral.